UUACGGCCAUGUCACGUAGAAUCAUCGGUUCUCGUCCAAUCACUUCAGUUAAGAAAGGUCGAGCUUAGUUAUUACCAAGAUGGGUGACCACUUCGGAAGACCAGGUGCUGUA
Molecule: non-coding RNA, 112 nt
Organism: Acanthosepion pharaonis
Lineage: Eukaryota; Metazoa; Mollusca; Cephalopoda; Sepiida; Sepiidae
Source: the annotation of a GenBank genome assembly